This 492-nucleotide ribosomal RNA is filed under the name uncultured bacterium. RNAcentral describes it as "partial 16S ribosomal RNA". It matches the Rfam family "Bacterial small subunit ribosomal RNA", at positions 28 to 507 of the family's 1533-position model. The record is from RNAcentral.
GAUGAACGCUGGCUACAGGCUUAACACAUGCAGGUCGAGGGGAAACGGCAUUGAGUGCUUGCACUGAAUGGACGUCGACCGGCGCACGGGUGAGUAACGCGUAUCCAACCUUCCCGUUACUGCGGGAUAACCUGCCGAAAGGCAGACUAAUACCGCAUGUUCUUCGAUGACGGCAUCAGAUUCGAAGCAAAGAUCCGUCGGUAACGGAGGGGGAUGCGUCUGAUUAGCUAGUUGGCGGGGCGACGGCCCACCAAGGCGACGAUCAGUAGGGGUUCUGAGAGGAAGGUCCCCCACAUUGGAACUGAGACACGGUCCAAACUCCUACGGGAGGCAGCAGUGAGGAAUAUUGGUCAAUGGGCGGAAGCCUGAACCAGCCAAGUAGCGUGCAGGAUGACGGCCCUACGGGUUGUAAACUGCUUUUAUGCGGGGAUAAAGUGAGGGACGCGUCCCUUUUUGCAGGUACCGCAUGAAUAAGGACCGGCUAAUUCCGUG